This 75-nucleotide transfer RNA is filed under the name Chloroflexota bacterium. RNAcentral describes it as "Chloroflexi bacterium (anaerobic digester metagenome) tRNA-Met". It matches the Rfam family "tRNA". From Rfam's summary of the family: Transfer RNA (tRNA) molecules are approximately 80 nucleotides in length. The record is from RNAcentral. Lineage: Bacteria; Bacillati; Chloroflexota.
GGCGACGUAGCUCAGUGGUAGAGCAGGGGACUCAUAAGCCCUGGGUCGUGUGUUCAAAUCACACCGUCGCCACCA